GUUGGUUCAUAUAAAUGUCAAAGUUACAUAAAUGUUAAUUUUACAGUUUCUCAUCUGUGUAAUUUCUUGUCACUGAUCAUGAUGUGCAUUUUAGCUAGUAUUUUCUGAACAGAUAAAAUUAGUGAACAGCAGCAGCUGGGGAAGUUUCAAAAUGGUGGGUCAGUAGACCCUACACCCAGAACCUGACUGUGUCCAUUUAAUCCCAUGUACUGAACCCCUGAUCCA
Non-coding RNA from Pelobates cultripes (western spadefoot toad), 225 nucleotides. NCBI's taxonomy places the organism in Eukaryota, Metazoa, Chordata, Amphibia, Anura, Pelobatidae. The record is from the annotation of a GenBank genome assembly.